RNAcentral lists this ribosomal RNA (440 nucleotides) under uncultured bacterium. Its description in RNAcentral is "partial 16S ribosomal RNA". It matches the Rfam family "Bacterial small subunit ribosomal RNA", at positions 338 to 795 of the family's 1533-position model. The record is from RNAcentral.
CCUACGGGUGGCAGCAGUGGGGAAUAUUGCACAAUGGGGGGAACCCUGAUGCAGCGACGCCGCGUGGGUGAGGAAGUACUUCGGUAUGUAAAGCCCUAUCUGCAGGGAAGAAAAUGACGGUACCUGACUCAGAAGCACCGGCUAACUACGUGCCAGCAGCCGCGGUAAUACGGAGGGAGCAAUCGUUAUACGGAUUCACUGGGUGUAAAGGGAGCGUAGACGGCCAAGCAAGCCAGGGGUGAAAGCCCGGGGCCCAACCCCGGGACUGCCCUUGAAACUGCAUGGCUGGAGUGAGGGAGGGGCAGGCGGAAUGCCUGGUGUAGCGGUGAAAUGCGUAGAUAUCAGGAGGAACACCGGCUGCGAAGGCGGCCUGCUGGACCGCGACUGACGUUGAGGCUCGAAAGCGUGGGGAGCGAACAGGAUUAGAUACCCUAGUAGUC